Molecule: long non-coding RNA, 678 nt
Filed under: Eucalyptus grandis
Lineage: Eukaryota; Viridiplantae; Streptophyta; Magnoliopsida; Myrtales; Myrtaceae
Description: long non-coding RNA (EGRA_LNC001635)
Source: RNAcentral
UAUAAUGCUUGGAUUUCCAUCCCCCUCCUCUCUCUCUCACCCACCUCGUCUUCUACGUCUCCAUCGCUUGCCAGAAGCUCACCCUUGGCCUCACCGCUACAAGCAGAGGAUACUAAUUAUGCUUGUAUUCGUGGUUAUUAGCACAAAAUUGACUGAUACAACGUUCCAACUAAAGAUUUGGUUUUGCUUGUCAGCACAAAGCUUGCCAUUAGUGGGAACCUGAUCUACACAACAGAUGAGAUUAUUAUUCAGCAAUAAAUGAGUCAAAGUGCAUCAGCCUGCCGAACUAGAGAAUCAACUUUAAGAUAGAUUUUACUGAUCAACACCAAUUAUUUCAGCCACCAGCAUAAGAGAGAUAAAGCAAGAAAAAAUUAGAACACUCCAAUCACCUCUUAUAAGCAAUUCAAGAAAACCAAGAGGUUCAAUCGUGAACAAACGAUGGAGAGAGGGGGCGGUAGAGAUUACCAGCAUGAAAGGCGGCUGAGAGAAGCUCCUCGAGUCCCUGAAACCUGAAUUCUGCACUUCGCAAGAAACAAAACCAGAAAGAGAAAGAGAAAUUAAAAAUUUCACACACAGAAGACACGAGAUAGAGAGAGAGAGAGAGAGAGAGAGAGAGCACGCGCACUACAACAGAGUCAAAUCGAAUGCUAUGGAGGACGCCCUGAGGGCGGCAAGCGG